UGCGUGUGGCCUGGGUGACUCAGGCCACCGUUCAGGGAUUGCUGAUGAUAGGUUUGACUUCGAUCCAAGCUCUUCAAAAUUGCUAGGAGGAAAUGGGAAGAUCUGUAGCAAAGCAUGAGCAUUUUGCUGAACCGGAUUCUUGAUGUGUACACUUCGAGGUAAGGAACUUGAUGGUAGAAUGACAUCCGUCCUGCCAAUUUUUGACGGUACC
This is a long non-coding RNA of Lolium rigidum, 211 nucleotides long. RefSeq lists it as uncharacterized. NCBI's taxonomy places the organism in Eukaryota, Viridiplantae, Streptophyta, Magnoliopsida, Poales, Poaceae. The record is from RefSeq and is a predicted model, not a curated record. The transcript is spliced from 3 exons.